GAAAUGCGAUAAGUAAUGUGAAUUGCAGAAUUCAGUGAAUCAUCGAAUCUUUGAACGCACCUUGCGCUCCUUGGUAUUCCUUGGAGCAUGCCUGUUUGAGUAUCAUGAAAUCUUCAAAGUAAAUCUUUUGUUAACUCAAUUGGUUUCUACUUUGGUAUUGGAGGUCUUUGCAGCUUCACACCUGCUCCUCUUUGUUCAUUAGCUGGAUCUCAGUGUUAUGCUUGGUUCCACUCGGCGUGAUAAGUUAUCUAUCGCUGAGGACACUGUAAAAGGUGGCCAAGGUAAAUGCAGAUGAACCGCUUCUAAUAGUCCAUUGACUUGAACAAUACUUUUAUGAUCUGAUCUCAAAUCAAGUAGGACUACCCGCUGAACUUAAGC
Molecule: unclassified non-coding RNA, 378 nt
Filed under: plant metagenome
Description: partial contains 5.8S ribosomal RNA, internal transcribed spacer 2, and large subunit ribosomal RNA
Rfam family: 5.8S ribosomal RNA (bases 1-105)
Source: RNAcentral